GACGUAGGGCGCGAGCGUUGUCCGGAUUUAUUGGGCGUAAAGAGCUCGUAGGCGGUCUGUCGCGUCUGGUGUGAAAACUCGGGGCUUAACCCCGGGCCUGCAGUCGAUACGGGCAGGCUAGAAUUCGGUAGGGGAGACUGGAAUUCCUGGUGUAGCGGUGAAAUGCGCAGAUAUCAGGAGGAACACCGGUGGCGAAGGCGGGUCUCUGGGCCGAUAUUGACGCUGAGGAGCGAAAGCGUGGGGAGCGAACAGG
This 253-nucleotide ribosomal RNA is filed under the name uncultured bacterium. RNAcentral's name for it is "partial 16S ribosomal RNA". It matches the Rfam family "Bacterial small subunit ribosomal RNA", at positions 524 to 776 of the family's 1533-position model. The record is from RNAcentral.